RNAcentral lists this ribosomal RNA (1233 nucleotides) under Triticum aestivum (bread wheat). Its description in RNAcentral is "partial small subunit ribosomal RNA". Lineage: Eukaryota; Viridiplantae; Streptophyta; Magnoliopsida; Poales; Poaceae. The record is from RNAcentral.
AUGAGCAUCUCCGUGAACGGGCAGUCGGUGGUGCCGCCGGGGUUCCGGUUCCACCCCACGGAGGAGGAGCUGCUCACCUACUACCUCGCCAAGAAGGUGGCCUCGCAGCGCAUCGACCUCGACGUCAUCCCCGACGUCGACCUCAACAAGCUCGAGCCAUGGGACAUCCAAGAGCGCUGCCGGAUCGGAACUGGCCCGCAGAACGACUGGUACCUGUUCAGCCACAAGGACAAGAAGUACCCCACGGGGACGCGCACCAACCGCGCCACCACCGCCGGGUUCUGGAAGGCCACCGGCCGGGACAAGGCCAUCUACUCCGCCGCCGGCUCCGGACGCAUCGGCAUGCGCAAGACGCUCGUGUACUACAAGGGCCGUGCCCCACACGGCCACAAGUCGGACUGGAUCAUGCAUGAGUACCGCCUUGACGACGCCGUCGCCCCUCCGACCAACCCCGUCUUUGCUGCCGGCGACGCAAGUUCCUACUACUCCGGCAUCUCAUCCCCGGUUCACGACAUGGCCGGGGGCCAGUCAUCGUCGACACAGGAGGAUGGGUGGGUCAUCUGUAGGGUGUUCAAGAAGAAGAACAUCGUCGUGCAACACCAAGCUGGCCAGAGCGGCGGCGGUCGUGGCGCAGCGUCCAACAAGCUGGUCGGCGCCGGUGCCAUGAAGCAUAGCCAGAGCAACUGCUCGUCGACCGUGACCCCCGCCAGCGCCAACGCCAAGGCGCAGAUGCAGCAGCACCUGCCGCACAGCGACGACGCGCUUGACCACAUCCUCAACUACAUGGGCCGCUCAUCCACGGCAUCGUGCAGGCAGGAGACCAAGCCCCCCAACCCGUCAUCGUCAGCGCUGGACCACCUGAUCAACAGCGCGUGCCGCAACGGCACCAGCACCCUGUACGACAAGUUCAUGAAGCUCCCGCCGCUCGAGCACGUCGUCCCCGGCGGGCUCCUGCCGCCGCCGAACGAGUACGGCCGCGACUGGGACGCUCUUGACCGGCUCGCCGCCUACGAGCUCAACGGCCUCUCUAACCCCGCGUUGGCCGAGACAACGACAGACAUGUCCUACAUCGCCGACGAGCUCGGUGGCGUCACAUCCUACUCCGCCGGUGGCACGCUACACACUCCCUCCGUCACCGUGGCCGGCGACGGCGACCUGUGGAGCCUGGCGCGGCCAGUGUCAUCGCUACACGCAGACUUGACGAUGACCUGGUUUAAGGCUGUCGGAUGCUGA